CGGGACGGGUGAGUAAUGUCUGGGAAACUGCCUGAUGGAGGGGGAUAACUACUGGAAACGGUAGCUAAUACCGCAUAACGUCGCAAGACCAAAGAAGGGGGGACCCGUUCGGGCCUCUUGCCAUCGGAUGUGCCCAGAUGGGAUUAGCUAGUAGGUGGGGUAACGGCUCACCUAGGCGACGAUCCCUAGCUGGUCUGAGAGGAUGACCAGCCACACUGGAACUGAGACACGGUCCAG
RNAcentral lists this ribosomal RNA (237 nucleotides) under uncultured bacterium. Its description in RNAcentral is "partial 16S ribosomal RNA". It matches the Rfam family "Bacterial small subunit ribosomal RNA", at positions 100 to 334 of the family's 1533-position model. The record is from RNAcentral.